Long non-coding RNA from Gallus gallus (chicken), 516 nucleotides. RefSeq lists it as uncharacterized. The transcript is spliced from 2 exons. The record is from RefSeq and is a predicted model, not a curated record. Lineage: Eukaryota; Metazoa; Chordata; Aves; Galliformes; Phasianidae.
CUCCCAUGGCUGUACUGAAGGUUACCUGUUGAAUGUGAUUUUGAUGGUAAAUGUAAUGAAGCUCAUAAUGCUUCUGCACCAUGGCAACGGUACCAAAACAUCACUGCUCUUCCUGUAUUCAUUUUCCUUUACUAGCCAGAAGACUGGACUGUAACUGGGGACUCUGGGAGAUGUAUAGAAGUGAAGAACUGUUUUUUGUUGCCUUUUUCCCCUCCAGGCCAGUGUAGGUCACAAGUCCCAAGACAGAAAGCAUGGGUAUAUUCAAAGUAACUAGAACUCCUCUGGGGCAAAUAAGCACAACCCCCAAAUAGCCCAGAUGGGACAGAAAGGAGAGGUACUCAGAUGAUCGCGGUAUCAGCCCGCUAAGAUUACCCGUGAUGAACACACACAGCUGAUUUUCCUGUUUCUUGUGGGACCUGCUGCAGCUUUUAUGGCCGUAGUUCUUUCUAACAGCGUCUCCUGGAAUCCAAGAGAUGUGCCCCAAAAUUGCAGUGUGAAUUAAAAGUAAUGAUAGAG